GUCUGGGAAACUGCCUGAUGGAGGGGGAUAACUACUGGAAACGGUGGCUAAUACCGCAUAACGUCGCAAGACCAAAGAGGGGGACCUUCGGGCCUCUUGCCAUCAGAUGUGCCCAGAUGGGAUUAGCUUGUUGGUGAGGUAACGGCUCACCAAGGCGACGAUCCCUAGCUGGUCUGAGAGGAUGACCAGCCACACUGGAACUGAGACACGGUCCAGACUCCUACGGGAGGCAGCAGUGGGGAAUAUUGCACAAUGGGCGCAAGCCUGAUGCAGCCAUGCCGCGUGUAUGAAGAAGGCCUUCGGGUUGUAAAGUACUUUCAGCGGGGAGGAAGGUGUUGUGGUUAAUAACCGCAGCAAUUGACGUUACCCGCAGAAGAAGCACCGGCUAACUCCGUGCCAGCAGCCGCGGUAAUACGGAGGGUGCAAGCGUUAAUCGGAAUUACUGGGCGUAAAGCGCACGCAGGCGGUCUGUCAAGUCGGAUGUGAAAUCCCCGGGCUCAACCUGGGAACUGCAUUCGAAACUGGCAGGCUUGAGUCUUGUAGAGGGGGGUAGAAUUCCAGGUGUAGCGGUGAAAUGCGUAGAGAUCUGGAGGAAUACCGGUGGCGAAGGCGGCCCCCUGGACAAAGACUGACGCUCAGGUGCGAAAGCGUGGGGAGCAAACAGGAUUAGAUACCCUGGUAGUCCACGCCGUAAACGAUGUCUACUUGGAGGUUGUGCCCUUGAGGCGUGGCUUCCGGAGCUAACGCGUUAAGUAGACCGCCUGGGGAGUACGGCCGCAAGGUUAAAACUCAAAUGAAUUGACGGGGGCCCGCACAAGCGGUGGAGCAUGUGGUUUAAUUCGAUGCAACGCGAAGAACCUUACCUGGUCUUGACAUCCACAGAACUUUCCAGAGAUGGAUUGGUGCCUUCGGGAACUGUGAGACAGGUGCUGCAUGGCUGUCGUCAGCUCGUGUUGUGAAAUGUUGGGUUAAGUCCCGCAACGAGCGCAACCCUUAUCCUUUGUUGCCAGCGGUCCGGCCGGGAACUCAAAGGAGACUGCCAGUGAUAAACUGGAGGAAGGUGGGGAUGACGUCAAGUCAUCAUGGCCCUUACGACCAGGGCUACACACGUGCUACAAUGGCGCAUACAAAGAGAAGCGACCUCGCGAGAGCAAGCGGACCUCAUAAAGUGCGUCGUAGUCCGGAUUGGAGUCUGCAACUCGACUCCAUGAAGUCGGAAUCGCUAGUAAUCGUGGAUCAGAAUGCCACGGUGAAUACGUUCCCGGGCCUUGUACACACCGCCCGUCACACCAUGGGAGUGGGUUGCAAAAGAAGUAGGUAGCUUAACCUUCGGGAGGGCGCUUACCACUUUGUGAUUCAUGACUGGGGUGAAGUCGUAACAAGGUAACCGUAGGGGAACCUGCGGUUGGAUCACCUCCUUACCUUAAAGAA
RNAcentral lists this ribosomal RNA (1431 nucleotides) under Salmonella enterica subsp. enterica serovar Stanley. Its description in RNAcentral is "bacterial SSU rRNA". It matches the Rfam family "Bacterial small subunit ribosomal RNA". Lineage: Bacteria; Pseudomonadati; Pseudomonadota; Gammaproteobacteria; Enterobacterales; Enterobacteriaceae. The record is from RNAcentral.